Molecule: ribosomal RNA, 201 nt
Filed under: uncultured bacterium
Lineage: Bacteria
Description: partial 16S ribosomal RNA
Rfam family: Bacterial small subunit ribosomal RNA
Source: RNAcentral
GUAGUCUGCAACUCGACUACAUGAAGCUGGAAUCGCUAGUAAUCGCGAAUCAGAAUGUCGCGGUGAAUACGUUCCCGGGUCUUGUACACACCGCCCGUCACACCAUGGGAGUCGGAAAUGCCCGAAGUCAGUGACCCAACCGAGAGGAGGGAGCUGCCGAAGGUGGAGCCGGUAACUGGGGUGAAGUCGUAACAAGGUAUC